UCCCUUGGAUAAUCGCUUUUACUCAUCGCGGGGAAGAGGGGUUGUAAGGGAAAGCACUCUUUAUAAAAAGUAAAAUAGAAUUCACGCUGAGAUUUUUAUCCUACAAUUCAAGGUCCAGAACCCGAAACUGUUUCAAGACAAGAAUUCCAGAUGAAGACCUGUAUCAUCCUCUUUGUGUUGGUAACGCUGACCACCUACUGCAGUGGACGCACCCGGUGGCGCAUAAUCGAGUAUGAUGUAGAAGUAGAAAGGACAACGGCUUACAAAAAGUGCACGACGGAAUGCCUAAAGAGAUGCCAAGAUUCUGAACCGUGCAGAAUUAAAACGCAAAAUGAUCCUGCCACGCUCUGCCGGGAAGGUUCGGACGACGGUUUCACGGUGGAUGGCAAACCAUUCGAUGGGUGUGAGCGCCUCAUCUCGCAUCCGGCCCCCCAAACUGACGAACCGAAGCGUCCAUUUGAAGUGGCUGAUCUGUGGAAGUUGUUCGAAGCAAAGUAAACUUGCAUGUAGGAAAAAAUGUUUCUUUAGUUGAAAACAGCAGCGAGAACAAUAUCGAGUUCUUUCAGCAGCAGUUGCUAGGCUGGAAAUUGUAUCUCACAAGUGGAAAAUGUUUUUCUUCAGUUGUAGAAUUAUAGUGAAAUGUUUAAAGCAUUUGCCAUGCCACUGUUUUUUUUUGUGUUUUUAAGGAAUUAAGACUCCGCUUAAACGUUUGGUUGUAACUAUGAACCUAAGAGAUCUUCUUAUUAAAUGAAUGAAUGGGA
This is a long non-coding RNA of Orbicella faveolata, 761 nucleotides long. RefSeq lists it as uncharacterized. The record is from RefSeq and is a predicted model, not a curated record. Lineage: Eukaryota; Metazoa; Cnidaria; Anthozoa; Scleractinia; Merulinidae.